AACGAACGCUGGCGGCAUGCCUAACACAUGCAAGUCGAACGAGACCUUCGGGUCUAGUGGCGCACGGGUGCGUAACGCGUGGGAAUCUACCCUUGGGUUCGGAAUAACUCAGAGAAAUUUGAGCUAAUACCGGAUGAUGUCGCAAGACCAAAGAUUUAUCGCCCAAGGAUGAGCCCGCGUAGGAUUAGCUUGUUGGUGAGGUAAAAGCUCACCAAGGCGACGAUCCUUAGCUGGUCUGAGAGGAUGAUCAGCCACACUGGGACUGAGACACGGCCCAGACUCCUACGGGAGGCAGCAGUGGGGAAUAUUGGACAGUGGGCGAAAGCCUGAUCCAGCAAUGCCGCGUGAGUGAUGAAGGCCUUAGGGUUGUAAAGCUCUUUUACCCGGGAUGAUAAUGACAGUACCGGG
Molecule: ribosomal RNA, 408 nt
Filed under: uncultured bacterium
Lineage: Bacteria
Description: bacterial SSU rRNA
Rfam family: Bacterial small subunit ribosomal RNA
Source: RNAcentral